RNAcentral lists this ribosomal RNA (101 nucleotides) under Acinetobacter baumannii. Its description in RNAcentral is "partial 23S ribosomal RNA". It matches the Rfam family "Bacterial large subunit ribosomal RNA", at positions 1 to 101 of the family's 2925-position model. The record is from RNAcentral. RNAcentral also lists the same sequence under 14 other names. Lineage: Bacteria; Pseudomonadati; Pseudomonadota; Gammaproteobacteria; Moraxellales; Moraxellaceae.
GGUUAAGCGACUAAGCGUACACGGUGGAUGCCCUGGCAGUCAGAGGCGAUGAAGGACGUGCUAAUCUGCGAAAAGCGUCGGUAAGGUGAUAUGAACCGUUA